GCAAAGUCGAGCGAGCUUGCCUAUGAAAAUUACUUCGGUAAAUGGGACAUAGAUACAAAAGCUAGCGGCGGGGAUGGGUGAGUAACGCUGGGUAACCUGCCCUUAAGUCUGGGAUCCAUUUGAAACAGAUGCUAAUACCGGAUAAAAGCUACUUUCGCAUGAAAAGAAGUUUAAAAGGCGGCGUAAAGCUGUCGCUAAAGGAUGGACCUGCGAUGCAUUAGCUAGUUGGUAAGGUAACGGCUUACCAAGGCGAUGAUGCAUAGCCCGAGUUGAGAGACUGAUCGGCCACAUUGGGACUGAGACACGGCCCAAACUCCUACGGGAGGCAGCAGUAGGGAAUCUUCCACAAUGGACGAAAGUCUGAUGGAGCAACGCCGCGUGAGUGAAGAAGGUUUUCGGAUCGUAAAGCUCUGUUGUUGGUGAAGAAGGAUAGAGGUAGUAACUGGCCUUUAUUUGACGGUAAUCAACCAGAAAGUCACGGCUAACUACGUGCCAGCAGCCGCGGUAAU
RNAcentral lists this ribosomal RNA (509 nucleotides) under uncultured Lactobacillus sp. Its description in RNAcentral is "bacterial SSU rRNA". It matches the Rfam family "Bacterial small subunit ribosomal RNA", at positions 57 to 524 of the family's 1533-position model. The record is from RNAcentral. Lineage: Bacteria; Bacillati; Bacillota; Bacilli; Lactobacillales; Lactobacillaceae.